Molecule: ribosomal RNA, 501 nt
Filed under: uncultured bacterium
Lineage: Bacteria
Description: partial 16S ribosomal RNA
Rfam family: Bacterial small subunit ribosomal RNA
Source: RNAcentral
AUUGAACGCUGGCGGCAGGCUUAACACAUGCAAGUCGAGCGGAGCGAGGGUGCUUGCACCUUAGCUUAGUGGCGGACGGGUGAGUAAUGCUUAGGAAUCUGCCUAUUAGUGGGGGACAACAUUCCGAAAGGAAUGCUAAUACCGCAUACGCCCUACGGGGGAAAGCAGGGGAUCUUCGGACCUUGCGCUAAUAGAUGAGCCUAAGUCGGAUUAGCUAGUUGGUGGGGUAAAGGCCUACCAAGGCGACGAUCUGUAGCGGGUCUGAGAGGAUGAUCCGCCACACUGGGACUGAGACACGGCCCAGGAUCCUACGGGAGGGAGGAGUGGGGAAUAUUGGACAAUGGGCGGAAGCCUGAUCCAGCCAUGCCGCGUGUGUGAAGAAGGGCUUUUGGUUGUAAAGCACUUUAAGCGAGGAGGAGGAUACUUAGAUUAAUACUCUGGGAUAGUGGACGUUACUCGCAGAAUAAGCACCGGCUAACUUCGUGCCAGCCGCCGCAGUAA